Molecule: ribosomal RNA, 430 nt
Filed under: uncultured bacterium
Lineage: Bacteria
Description: bacterial SSU rRNA
Rfam family: Bacterial small subunit ribosomal RNA
Source: RNAcentral
UUCGGGACGCCGGCGAGUGGCGAACGGGUGAGUAACACGUGGAGACCUGCCCUGGGGUGGGGGAUAACAGCUAGAAAUGGCUGCUAAUACCGCAUACGCCUUACGAGGGAAAGAUUUAUUGCCCCAGGAGGGUUCCGCGUCGGAUUAGCUUGUUGGUGGGGUAACGGCCUACCAAGGCGACGAUCCGUAGCUGGUCUUAGAGGAUGAUCAGCCACACUGGGACUGAGACACGGCCCAGACUCCUACGGGAGGCAGCAGUGGGGAAUAUUGCGCAAUGGGGGAAACCCUGACGCAGCGAUGCCGCGUGGGUGAAUAAGGCCUUAGGGUUGUAAAGCCCUUUCAGUGGGAACGAUGAUGACGGUACCCACAGAAGAAGCCCCGGCUAACUCCGUGCCAGCAGCCGCGGUAAUACGAAGGGGGCUAGCGUUGU